This is a long non-coding RNA of Helianthus annuus (common sunflower), 571 nucleotides long. RefSeq lists it as uncharacterized. NCBI's taxonomy places the organism in Eukaryota, Viridiplantae, Streptophyta, Magnoliopsida, Asterales, Asteraceae. The record is from RefSeq and is a predicted model, not a curated record. The transcript is spliced from 2 exons.
UAAUCUGAAACAAAAUUACUCUUUCUCUAGCAUCAUCUUCCUUCAUUAAACUCUAAAAAAACAUCAUCAAUUCAUUACACAGAUCAAUAUAUCACUUUAUUACAGAACUCAAAAACUAUCCCUCUCUCUAAUCUCUCGCUCUUCUCUUUCUAUACGGAACCAAGCCACCACCGGAACAUCAUUACACUGAACCACAACCUUCACGAACUACCAAACCAGGCUAACAAAGGCAGCCGUUGAACUAUGGUGUUGACGGUGGUGGCCGCCGAUAGCAGGUCUCCCAGAGAUGGAAAGCAUAUCGAAGUUUUGGGCUACUAUAACCCUUUGCGAGGUCAGGAUGGUGGUAAACGAAUGGGGCUUAAUAUCGGGGUGAAGUAAGUUGUUCGCUACACUUAUCGUCAUUCGAUAUGAUAUGAAUCAGAGAAAAUUUUUGAGAUUUCAAGGAAGGAAGAUGAUGAUAGAGAAAGAGUGGAUGUAAUUUUGUUUCAGAUUAAAGAGAGAGAGAUUAUAAUUGUUUCUUUAUUUUUUAAGUUUUUUAUAAAUAGUCCCUGAAUAAGAAUUCUUUACAAAA